This 446-nucleotide ribosomal RNA is filed under the name uncultured bacterium. RNAcentral's name for it is "partial 16S ribosomal RNA". It matches the Rfam family "Bacterial small subunit ribosomal RNA", at positions 338 to 795 of the family's 1533-position model. The record is from RNAcentral.
CCUACGGGAGGCUGCAGUCGAGAAUCAUUCACAAUGGGGGAAACCCUGAUGGUGCGACGCCGCGUGGGGGAAUGAAGGUCUUCGGAUUGUAAACCCCUGUCAUGUGGGAGCAAAUUAAAAAGAUAGUACCACAAGAGGAAGAGACGGCUAACUCUGUGCCAGCAGCCGCGGUAAUACAGAGGUCUCAAGCGGUGUUCGGCAUCACUGGGCGUAAAGCGUGCGGAGGCUGUUUCGUAAGUCCGGUGUGAAAGGCGCGGGCUCAACCCGCGGACGGCACAUGAUACUGCGAGACUAGAGUAAUGGAGGGGGAACCGGAAUUCUCGGUGUAGCAGUGAAAUGCGUAGAUAUCGAGAGGAACACUCGUGGCGAAGGCGGGUUGCUGGACAUUAACUGACGCUGAGGCACGAAGGCGAGGGGAGCGAAAGGGAUUAGAUACCCUGGUAGUC